This 460-nucleotide ribosomal RNA is filed under the name uncultured bacterium. RNAcentral's name for it is "partial 16S ribosomal RNA". It matches the Rfam family "Bacterial small subunit ribosomal RNA", at positions 338 to 795 of the family's 1533-position model. The record is from RNAcentral.
CCUACGGGAGGCAGCAGUGAGGAAUAUUGGUCAAUGGACGAGAGUCUGAACCAGCCACGUAGCGUGAAGGAUGACUGCCCUAUGGGUUGUAAACUUCUUUUAUAUGGGAAUAAAACAGGGUAUGCAUACCCUCUUGUAUGUACCAUAUGAAUAAGGCUCGGCUAACUCCGUGCCAGCAGCCGCGGUAAUACGGAGGAUCCGAGCGUUAUCCGGAUUUAUUGGGUUUAAAGGGAGCGUAGGUGGAUUGUUAAGUCAGUUGUGAAAGUUUGCGGCUCAACCGUAAAAUUGCAGUUGAAACUGGCAGUCGUGAGUACAGUAGAGGUGGGCGGAAUUCGUGGUGUAGCGGUGAAAUGCUUAGAUAUAACGAAGAAAUCCGAUUGCGAAGGCAGCUCACUGGACUGCAACUGACACUGAUGCUCGAAAGUGUGGGUAUCAAACAGGAUUAGAUACCCCAGUAGUC